GUUGGGCAUUGUGGUGCACGCCUGUAAUCCCAGCCGCUUGGGAGGUUGAGGCAGGAGGAUUUUGAGUUUUUAAGCCAGCCUCUGCAACUUAGCAAGUCCUUAAGCAACUCAGUGAGACCCUGUCUCUA
RNAcentral lists this small RNA (128 nucleotides) under Marmota monax (woodchuck). The record is from RNAcentral. Lineage: Eukaryota; Metazoa; Chordata; Mammalia; Rodentia; Sciuridae.